RNAcentral lists this microRNA precursor (126 nucleotides) under Callithrix jacchus (white-tufted-ear marmoset). RNAcentral's name for it is "microRNA cja-mir-9971 precursor". The record is from miRBase by way of RNAcentral. Lineage: Eukaryota; Metazoa; Chordata; Mammalia; Primates; Cebidae.
GACUCCAAGCCAGGGUUUCUGUCUUGCGGAUUGGUUCUUUCUGCUCCAUCUCAGUGCCGUUCUCACCCAAAUGCCGGUGAGCAAGGAGUAGCCAGCCCGAUCUGGGAGCCACACCUGGCUGGAGUC